GACGAACGCUGGCGGCGUGCUUAACACGUGCAAGUCGAACGGAAAGGCCCCUUUGGGGGUACUCGAGUGGCGAACGGGUGAGUAACACGUGAGUAACCUGCCCUUGACUUCGGGAUAACUUCAGGAAACUGGGGCUAAUACCGGAUAGGAAUCCUUGCUGCAUGGUGGGGGUUGGAAAGCUUCGGCGGUUUUGGAUGGACUCGCGGCUUAUCAGCUUGUUGGUGGGGUAGUGGCUUACCAAGGCUUUGACGGGUAGCCGGCCUGAGAGGGCGACCGGCCACAUUGGGACUGAGAUACGGCCCAGACUCCUACGGGAGGCAGCAGUGGGGAAUAUUGCACAAUGGGCGGAAGCCUGAUGCAGCAACGCCGCGUGCGGGAUGACGGCCUUCGGGUUGUAAACCGCUUUCAGCAGGGGCGAAGCUUGUGGUGACGGUACCUGCAGAAGAAGCACCGGCUAACUACGUG
RNAcentral lists this ribosomal RNA (465 nucleotides) under uncultured bacterium. Its description in RNAcentral is "partial 16S ribosomal RNA". It matches the Rfam family "Bacterial small subunit ribosomal RNA", at positions 28 to 507 of the family's 1533-position model. The record is from RNAcentral.